This 72-nucleotide transfer RNA is filed under the name Chloroflexota bacterium. Its description in RNAcentral is "tRNA-Gln". It matches the Rfam family "tRNA". From Rfam's summary of the family: Transfer RNA (tRNA) molecules are approximately 80 nucleotides in length. Their secondary structure includes four short double-helical elements and three loops (D, anti-codon, and T loops). Further hydrogen bonds mediate the characteristic L-shaped molecular structure. tRNAs have two regions of fundamental functional importance: the anti-codon, which is responsible for specific mRNA codon recognition, and the 3' end, to which the tRNAs corresponding amino acid is attached (by aminoacyl-tRNA synthetases). tRNAs cope with the degeneracy of the genetic code in two manners: having more than one tRNA (with a specific anti-codon) for a particular amino acid; and 'wobble' base-pairing, i.e. permitting non-standard base-pairing at the 3rd anti-codon position. RNAcentral also lists the same sequence under 1 other name. The record is from RNAcentral. Lineage: Bacteria; Bacillati; Chloroflexota.
UACGGGGUCGUCUAACUGGCAGGACCGCUGACUUUGAAUCAGUAAAUCCAGGUUCAAACCCUGGCCCCGUAG